AUACGGAGGGUGCAAGCGUUACUCGGAAUCACUGGGCGUAAAGCGCGCGCAGGCGGCUUGAUAAGUUGGAUGUGAAAGCCUACGGCCCAACCGUAGAACUGCAUCCAAAACUGUCAGGCUAGAGAGUGGGAGAGGGAGAUGGAAUUAGUUGUGUAGGGGUAAAAUCCGUAGAGAUAACUAGGAAUACCAAAAGCGAAGGCAAUCUUCUGGAACACUACUGACGCUGAGGCGCGAAGGCGUGGGGAGCAAACAGGAUUAGAUACCCCAGUAGUCC
Molecule: ribosomal RNA, 274 nt
Filed under: uncultured bacterium
Lineage: Bacteria
Description: partial 16S ribosomal RNA
Rfam family: Bacterial small subunit ribosomal RNA
Source: RNAcentral